Molecule: ribosomal RNA, 192 nt
Filed under: uncultured bacterium
Lineage: Bacteria
Description: partial 16S rRNA
Rfam family: Bacterial small subunit ribosomal RNA
Source: RNAcentral
GGAGUAUCGACCCUCUCUGUGCCGAAGCUAACGCUUUAAGUGUCCCGCCUGGGGAGUACGGUCGCAAGGCUAAAGCUCAAAGGAAAUGACGGGGGCCCGCACAAGCAGCGGAGCGUGUGGUUUAAUUCGAUGCUACACGAAGAACCUUACCAAGAUUUGACAUGCAUGUAGUAGUGAACUGAAAGGGAAACG